UUAGUUUCACUCUGUUGGAUAAACAGCGAGUAGUGUUUGAGGAAGGCCGUCGAGAGUUGAUUGUAGUUGUCGAUAGAAAGGGUUUCAAGGCGUGAGAACCAACCGAGGGCGAGUCCGCUCAAAUUUUCCACAAACAAUUGACAGAGACCGGCAUCGUGUUCUUCUGGUGAGAAAUUGGCUCUCCCGGUUGCGAUGCUGAAGGCGGUUAGAUACUCUCUUGGAUCAGAU
This 228-nucleotide long non-coding RNA is filed under the name Brassica napus (rape). RNAcentral describes it as "long non-coding RNA (BNAP_LNC026750)". The record is from RNAcentral. Lineage: Eukaryota; Viridiplantae; Streptophyta; Magnoliopsida; Brassicales; Brassicaceae.